RNAcentral lists this ribosomal RNA (759 nucleotides) under Parahaemophilus parainfluenzae. Its description in RNAcentral is "Haemophilus parainfluenzae bacterial SSU rRNA". It matches the Rfam family "Bacterial small subunit ribosomal RNA", at positions 28 to 776 of the family's 1533-position model. Lineage: Bacteria; Pseudomonadati; Pseudomonadota; Gammaproteobacteria; Pasteurellales; Pasteurellaceae. The record is from RNAcentral.
AUUGAACGCUGGCGGCAGGCUUAACACAUGCAAGUCGAACGGUAACAUAAAGAAGCUUGCUUCUUUGAUGACGAGUGGCGGACGGGUGAGUAAUGCUUGGGAAUCUAGCUUAUGGAGGGGGAUAACUACGGGAAACUGUAGCUAAUACCGCGUAGAAUCGAGAGAUGAAAGUGUGGGACCUUCGGGCCACAUGCCAUAGGAUGAGCCCAAGUGGGAUUAGGUAGUUGGUGAGGUAAAGGCUCACCAAGCCGACGAUCUCUAGCUGGUCUGAGAGGAUGACCAGCCACACUGGGACUGAGACACGGCCCAGACUCCUACGGGAGGCAGCAGUGGGGAAUAUUGCGCAAUGGGGGCAACCCUGACGCAGCCAUGCCGCGUGAAUGAAGAAGGCCUUCGGGUUGUAAAGUUCUUUCGGUAGCGAGGAAGGCAUUUAGUUUAAUAAACUAGGUGAUUGACGUUAACUACAGAAGAAGCACCGGCUAACUCCGUGCCAGCAGCCGCGGUAAUACGGAGGGUGCGAGCGUUAAUCGGAAUAACUGGGCGUAAAGGGCACGCAGGCGGUGACUUAAGUGAGGUGUGAAAGCCCCGGGCUUAACCUGGGAAUUGCAUUUCAUACUGGGUCGCUAGAGUACUUUAGGGAGGGGUAAAAUUCCACGUGUAGCGGUGAAAUGCGUAGAGAUGUGGAGGAAUACCGAAGGCGAAGGCAGCCCCUUGGGAAUGUACUGACGCUCAUGUGCGAAAGCGUGGGGAGCAAACAGG